GGGGUAUUGAGAGGGAGGAGUGGAGAGGGAUCAGGGCUCUCCACCUUUAGGGGGAGUGGCCCAGGUGGUAGCCAGGUAGAAUAUGGCCUCUCCCCCUUUUCCUUGCCCUUUUGGUCAACAAGGAAGAGGGUCUGAGCAGGGCAAGGUGGCAAGGUGGUACCCCUGGGAAGAGGCAACUGUUUGGGCAUCAUUUGGGAACAGAGCUGGGACAAUCUGGGUUGGAUUUAUUCCCAAAGUUUCCCAAUGUUCCCAUUCUGCUUCCUCUUAGUUAUUCUCUUGACACAGAGGUUUACACUUUAUCCAUUUAUUUGUUAGGUGAAUAUAGAGUAAAUACAUGUCUAGCCCUGUAUUAGCCCAAGGGUGGUUUUAUUUAUUUCAGAGUGAUUCUUUUUCAAGGUGGAAGGAAGGAAUAUACUGACUAAAGAAAUAGAAGGCAAGGUCCAGUUGGAAAACCACUACAAAUCCAACUGGAAAAGUAACACAUGUUCACACCUACAGCUAGGAAGCCUCUCAAAUGAUAUUAUACAAUGCUGAGGGAAAGUACAAAAAAAACUUAAAACUUUUCAACAAAUGAGCUUUAUGAACUGAUGUUUAAAAGGUAGAAGGAAAUGUUAGCCCACAGAAAGGGUACCACAAUGCUGUCUACUGGCAGGCUAAUAUUGACCUCCAAGGAUGUGUGAGUCAAAGGGCACGCUCAACACAAGGGACCCCUUUUCCCAGUGGGAAUAAACCUGAACUUUCCUCAAUCUAGCAGUUUGUGGCAUUAUCAAUUUCCUUUGUUCCUGUCUGGGAAACAGUGCCUGACACCAGAAGUCACUUAUAAGCCACACCCUUUCACCACUAUGGGUGUGUGCAGGCCAGGUCUCUGCCACACAGAGGCACACAGUCAGGGACUGUCACU
Long non-coding RNA from Perognathus longimembris pacificus (Pacific pocket mouse), 901 nucleotides. RefSeq lists it as uncharacterized. The record is from RefSeq and is a predicted model, not a curated record. The transcript is spliced from 3 exons. Lineage: Eukaryota; Metazoa; Chordata; Mammalia; Rodentia; Heteromyidae.